RNAcentral lists this ribosomal RNA (404 nucleotides) under Verrucomicrobiota bacterium. Its description in RNAcentral is "Verrucomicrobia bacterium partial 16S ribosomal RNA". It matches the Rfam family "Bacterial small subunit ribosomal RNA", at positions 355 to 776 of the family's 1533-position model. Lineage: Bacteria; Pseudomonadati; Verrucomicrobiota. The record is from RNAcentral.
UGGGGAAUAUUGCACAAUGGGGGAAACCCUGAUGCAGCGACGCCGCGUGAGCGAAGAAGGCUUUCGAGUCGUAAAGCUCUGUCCUAUGAGAAGAUAAUGACGGUAUCAUAGGAGGAAGCCCUGGCUAAAUACGUGCCAGCAGCCGCGGUAAUACGUAGGGGGCAAGCGUUGUCCGGAAUUAUUGGGCGUAAAGCGCGCGCAGGUGGUUUAGAAAGUCUGAUGUGAAAGCCCACGGCUCAACCGUGGAGGGUCAUUGGAAACUAAUAAACUUGAGUGCAGGAGAGAAAAGUGGAAUUCCUAGUGUAGCGGUGAAAUGCGUAGAGAUUAGGAGGAACACCGGUGGCGAAAGCGGCUUUUUGGCCUGCAACUGACACUGAGGCGCGAAAGCGUGGGGAGCAAACAGG